AGCAUAUCAAUAAGCGGAGGAAAAGAAACCAACAGGGAUUGCCCUAGUAACGGCGAGUGAAGCGGCAACAGCUCAAAUUUGAAAUCUGGCCUCGGCCCGAGUUGUAAUUUGCAGAGGAAGCUUCUGGUGCGGCGCUGUCCGAGUCCCCUGGAACGGGGCGCCAUAGAGGGUGAGAGCCCCGUAUGGAUAGAUGCCUAGCCUGUGUGAAGCUCCUUCGACGAGUCGAGUAGUUUGGGAAUGCUGCUCAAAAUGGGAGGUAAAUUCCUUCUAAAGCUAAAUAUUGGCCAGAGACCGAUAGCGCACAAGUAGAGUGAUCGAAAGAUGAAAAGCACUUUGAAAAGAGGGUUAAAUAGCACGUGAAAUUGUUGAAAGGGAAGCGCUUGUGACCAGACUUGCGCCAGGCUGAUCAUCCGGUGUUCUCACCGGUGCACUCUGCCUGGCUCAGGCCAGCAUCGGUUUCAGUGGGGGGAUAAAGGCCUAGGGAANGUAGCUCCUCCGGGAGUGUCAUAGCCCUGGGUGCAAUGCCCCCGCCGGGACCGAGGUUCGCGCAUCUGCUAGGAUGC
This 563-nucleotide ribosomal RNA is filed under the name uncultured fungus. Its description in RNAcentral is "eukaryotic LSU rRNA". It matches the Rfam family "Eukaryotic large subunit ribosomal RNA", at positions 37 to 626 of the family's 3401-position model. The record is from RNAcentral. Lineage: Eukaryota; Fungi.